This is a non-coding RNA of Salvia hispanica, 389 nucleotides long. Lineage: Eukaryota; Viridiplantae; Streptophyta; Magnoliopsida; Lamiales; Lamiaceae. The record is from RefSeq and is a predicted model, not a curated record.
UCAAGAAAGAAAGGGCCUCGAAGAACCCUAAUUUCACAAAUUUGACAUCGCCCUUUCUAUUGACUGUCUAGUCUAUCCAAUUCUCCCCUCUUUCUGCAUAUUCUAUCCAAGGAUCACUCCCAGCUCACAAUCGCUCCAAUUCACCUCACCGCCUCAGAAUUUAUUGCGUGCUUUUGUCUGUGAGAACAUGGGUUUAAUGGGAAAUUCUUGCUUGCUCGAUGCGUAGAUGAUGGAAUUAUCAACAUUUCAGCUGCAGGGCUCUUAUAGAAGCUUCCCUUGUGUGCCCUCAGUGUGGGACAGAGGAGCCAACUGCAAUACCUUUUGCCCUCAGUCACAGUCCCACGAGUUGGGAGAAAAGAUAGACCAAUCUCUUUAAAAUCCAGAUCAUG